This 1179-nucleotide ribosomal RNA is filed under the name Staphylococcus aureus. RNAcentral's name for it is "bacterial SSU rRNA". It matches the Rfam family "Bacterial small subunit ribosomal RNA", at positions 92 to 1257 of the family's 1533-position model. Lineage: Bacteria; Bacillati; Bacillota; Bacilli; Caryophanales; Staphylococcaceae. The record is from RNAcentral.
UUAGCGGCGGACGGGUGAGUAACACGUGGAUAACCUACCUAUAAGACUGGGAUAACUUCGGGAAACCGGAGCUAAUACCGGAUAAUAUUUUGAACCGCAUGGUUCAAAAGUGAAAGACGGUCUUGCUGUCACUUAUAGAUGGAUCCGCGCUGCAUUAGCUAGUUGGUAAGGUAACGGCUUACCAAGGCAACGAUGCAUAGCCGACCUGAGAGGGUGAUCGGCCACACUGGAACUGAGACACGGUCCAGACUCCUACGGGAGGCAGCAGUAGGGAAUCUUCCGCAAUGGGCGAAAGCCUGACGGAGCAACGCCGCGUGAGUGAUGAAGGUCUUCGGAUCGUAAAACUCUGUUAUUAGGGAAGAACAUAUGUGUAAGUAACUGUGCACAUCUUGACGGUACCUAAUCAGAAAGCCACGGCUAACUACGUGCCAGCAGCCGCGGUAAUACGUAGGUGGCAAGCGUUAUCCGGAAUUAUUGGGCGUAAAGCGCGCGUAGGCGGUUUUUUAAGUCUGAUGUGAAAGCCCACGGCUCAACCGUGGAGGGUCAUUGGAAACUGGAAAACUUGAGUGCAGAAGAGGAAAGUGGAAUUCCAUGUGUAGCGGUGAAAUGCGCAGAGAUAUGGAGGAACACCAGUGGCGAAGGCGACUUUCUGGUCUGUAACUGACGCUGAUGUGCGAAAGCGUGGGGAUCAAACAGGAUUAGAUACCCUGGUAGUCCACGCCGUAAACGAUGAGUGCUAAGUGUUAGGGGGUUUCCGCCCCUUAGUGCUGCAGCUAACGCAUUAAGCACUCCGCCUGGGGAGUACGACCGCAAGGUUGAAACUCAAAGGAAUUGACGGGGACCCGCACAAGCGGUGGAGCAUGUGGUUUAAUUCGAAGCAACGCGAAGAACCUUACCAAAUCUUGACAUCCUUUGACAACUCUAGAGAUAGAGCCUUCCCCUUCGGGGGACAAAGUGACAGGUGGUGCAUGGUUGUCGUCAGCUCGUGUCGUGAGAUGUUGGGUUAAGUCCCGCAACGAGCGCAACCCUUAAGCUUAGUUGCCAUCAUUAAGUUGGGCACUCUAAGUUGACUGCCGGUGACAAACCGGAGGAAGGUGGGGAUGACGUCAAAUCAUCAUGCCCCUUAUGAUUUGGGCUACACACGUGCUACAAUGGACAAUACAAAGGGCAGCGAAACCG